Molecule: ribosomal RNA, 253 nt
Filed under: uncultured bacterium
Lineage: Bacteria
Description: partial 16S ribosomal RNA
Rfam family: Bacterial small subunit ribosomal RNA
Source: RNAcentral
UACGGAGGGUGCAAGCGUUGUUCGGAAUUACUGGGCGUAAAGGGCGCGUAGGUGGCCAACUAAGUCGGACGUGAAAUCCCUCGGCUUAACCGGGGAACUGCGUCUGAUACUGGAUGGCUUGAGUUCGGGAGAGGGAUGCGGAAUUCCAGGUGUAGCGGUGAAAUGCGUAGAUAUCUGGAGGAACACCGGUGGCGAAGGCGGCAUCCUGGACCAACACUGACACUGAGGAGCGAAAGCCAGGGGAGCAAACGGG